Triticum urartu is the source of this 1040-nucleotide long non-coding RNA. RefSeq lists it as uncharacterized. NCBI's taxonomy places the organism in Eukaryota, Viridiplantae, Streptophyta, Magnoliopsida, Poales, Poaceae. The record is from RefSeq and is a predicted model, not a curated record.
AAAAUUGCGUCAGCAAGCUCCUCAACUUCAGCUUCUUGACCUGAAAGGAACAGGAAAAAUGACAUUAAGGUCUGUAGGAAAUCACCAAAACAGACUAACAAGUGAAACAAGUCUGCUCUACAAUACGAAAAUGAUAUUGUCAUCUUCGUGGAGAGUGAUGACAGUAACACUCUGCAUCUCAAUUCCUUGAUGUUGUUUUGAGGGGAUGUAAGGCAUGAAGACAAGAGUUAGGUUGUGGAUUUUGGUGUUAAAAUGUAAAGCUGGGCACCUUAUCUCUGACAUAUCUGGGUACGCCCAUUGAUGAACACAGAUUACCUAAUGCUCAGCUUAUGCAUUUGGUUCAGAAAAUCAGUAAGAGGAUAGGUCCAUGGCAGGGGAGUCACCUAUCCUCCUGGGGGAAGACUUAUUCUUUCCCAUGCAUGUCUGGCAAAUAUGCCUCGGUACCAGAUGGGUUUCACACCAAUUGGCAACUUUUGUUCCAUAUCUUAGAUACAGGUUUCAAUUCCAAGCUGUAGUAACUAUGAUAGGUUAAGACCUCACAUUACAUGGAUCUUAGGUGCUAACAUGUUUUUUUUUAAUUAUUGCAGCUUCUCUACAUGAAGUACAGUUGCUGGUUAACCUUCUUGGUAUAUGGAAAGAAUCUGAGUACUCUGGCCACUCUAUUCCUGUUGGUGAUCUUGCUUACAUUUAACUGCACCAUCAAGCAUGUGCUCUCUUCUCAAAGAUACGGACUGAAGUUUCUGCUUCAACGGCCAGCAUGUUGCUAAGCAGCUGAAGUGGAAGAACGAAGGAUGGAGCCAGAAGAAAUGCCGAACCCACAAGUACAACCAGCAGAUAUGUUUGAUUAGUACUUCCCAUUUCUGUUUAUUUUUUAGCAGUUCUAUGAUUUUUCUAAGACUGUUCUUGUGAUUCAUGUCCAGAAUAUCUGAGACUGGAACACCCAAGUGUGAGCGAAUGCGCUAGCUCAUGGCAGCACGAGAUCGAGAUUCAGAGGUAGUAGAAACAAGAGCUACUAAAGAAAAACAAAAGGGAUCGGGAAA